UUUCCUUGUAGUUGCAGAUACAUUCAUACAAAUGAUGUUGAAGAAACAAAGAGAAAAGGAACUUGGACUGUACCAUUUUGUUUGCAGCUUCUAAGAUAAAGGAGAUAAAUUUCCUCUGUUGACAAAAAAAUGGUUGAGGAGUCAGAAAGUUUGACUGAAGAUUAAGGAUAUCAAAUGAAGAUUAUUAUUGAAAAAAGAGCACUUUGAAGUACUAGGAGAAUUUGAAAACAUCUUGGUGAAAUAGUCUGACUGAUUAUGACAGAACAUCAAAAGAAAUGACGAAAAAGUACACAUCUUAUCAAAAUAGUACUACAUUGUACUAGAAACUAAAAGCUACUUGCAAUUUUCACUGGUUUUGAGAUCAGUAAUAGUCUGACAAGGAAAGAAUUUAAUGAACAUGAUUAUGAUGCCUCUUGAUAAAUAUAAAAACAUAUUGACUGUAAAAUAAUUACCAGUUACCAAUUAUAUCUGUUGUUUACAAAAUUUGUUAUUUGGAAAUAUCUGUUGAAUGUUUUGAAAUUAAAAUGUGUUAACUUAAAUGAUUUAAGAAUUGAAGUCUUUAAAUGAUACAAAAGCAAGGAUACAU
Mytilus trossulus (common blue mussel) is the source of this 586-nucleotide long non-coding RNA. RefSeq lists it as uncharacterized. NCBI's taxonomy places the organism in Eukaryota, Metazoa, Mollusca, Bivalvia, Mytilida, Mytilidae. The record is from RefSeq and is a predicted model, not a curated record. The transcript has 3 exons.